Prolemur simus (greater bamboo lemur) is the source of this 288-nucleotide unclassified non-coding RNA. It matches the Rfam family "Metazoan signal recognition particle RNA". From Rfam's summary of the family: The signal recognition particle (SRP) is a universally conserved ribonucleoprotein. NCBI's taxonomy places the organism in Eukaryota, Metazoa, Chordata, Mammalia, Primates, Lemuridae. The record is from Ensembl.
GCUGGAUGUGGUGCUGCACACUUGUAGUCCCAUCUUCUCUAGAGGCUGAGGCAAUAAGAUUGUUUGAGUCCAGGAGUUCUGCAUGGUAGUGGGCUAUGCGGCUCGGGUGUCUGCACUAAGUUUAGCAUCAGCAUGGUGACCUCCCACGAGCCAGGCACCACCAGGUUGCCUAAGGAGGGUUGAACUGGCCCAAGUUGGAAAUGGAGCAGGUCAGAACUCAGUAGUGGGAUAGCACCUGUGAAUAGCCACUGCACUCCAGCCUGGGUUACAUAGUGAGACCUUAUCUCA